CCCCUAGAUGUUCUGGGCCGCACGCGCGCUACACUGAACAGUUCAACAAGUCUUAACCUUGGCCGAUAGGUCUGGGUAAUCUUUGAACGCUGUUCGUGAUUGGGAUAGACCUUUGCAAUUAUGGGUCUUCAACGAGGAAUUCCUAGUAAACGCAAGUCAUCAGCUUGCAUUGAUUACGUCCCUGCCCUUUGUACACACCGCCCGUCGCACCUACCGAUUGAAUGGUCCGGUGAAAUCUCGGGACGGCGGCUUGGUCGCUUGCGUCCGACUGCUGAAACUUGAUUAAACCAUAUCAUUUAGAGGAAGGUGAAGUCAUANCA
RNAcentral lists this ribosomal RNA (320 nucleotides) under uncultured eukaryote. Its description in RNAcentral is "partial 18S ribosomal RNA". It matches the Rfam family "Eukaryotic small subunit ribosomal RNA", at positions 1470 to 1796 of the family's 1831-position model. The record is from RNAcentral.